CACGUAGGCUGUAGUGUAAGUCAGGGGUGAAAUCCCACGGCUCAACCGUGGAACUGCCUUUGAUACUGCACAACUUGAAUCCGGGAGAGGGUAGCGGAAUUCCAGGUGUAGGAGUGAAAUCCGUAGAUAUCUGGAGGAACAUCAGUGGCGAAGGCGGCCACCUGGACCGGUAUUGACGCUGAGGUGCGAAAGCUAGGGUAGCGAACG
Molecule: ribosomal RNA, 207 nt
Filed under: uncultured bacterium
Lineage: Bacteria
Description: partial 16S ribosomal RNA
Rfam family: Bacterial small subunit ribosomal RNA
Source: RNAcentral